RNAcentral lists this ribosomal RNA (848 nucleotides) under Wolbachia pipientis. RNAcentral's name for it is "bacterial SSU rRNA". It matches the Rfam family "Bacterial small subunit ribosomal RNA", at positions 93 to 978 of the family's 1533-position model. The record is from RNAcentral. Lineage: Bacteria; Pseudomonadati; Pseudomonadota; Alphaproteobacteria; Rickettsiales; Anaplasmataceae.
UAGUGGCAGACGGGUGAGUAAUGUAUAGGAAUCUACCUAGUAGUACGGAAUAAUUGUUGGAAACGGCAACUAAUACCGUAUACGCCCUACGGGGGAAAAAUUUAUUGCUAUUAGAUGAGCCUAUAUUAGAUUAGCUAGUUGGUGGAGUAAUAGCCUACCAAGGCAAUGAUCUAUAGCUGAUCUGAGAGGAUGAUCAGCCACACUGGAACUGAGAUACGGUCCAGACUCCUACGGGAGGCAGCAGUGGGGAAUAUUGGACAAUGGGCGAAAGCCUGAUCCAGCCAUGCCGCAUGAGUGAAGAAGGCCUUUGGGUUGUAAAGCUCUUUUAGUGAGGAAGAUAAUGACGGUACUCACAGAAGAAGUCCUGGCUAACUCCGUGCCAGCAGCCGCGGUAAUACGGAGAGGGCUAGCGUUAUUCGGAAUUAUUGGGCGUAAAGGGCGCGUAGGCGGAUUAGUAAGUUAAAAGUGAAAUCCCAAGGCUCAACCUUGGAAUUGCUUUUAAAACUGCUAAUCUAGAGAUUGAAAGAGGAUAGAGGAAUUCCUAGUGUAGAGGUGAAAUUCGUAAAUAUUAGGAGGAACACCAGUGGCGAAGGCGUCUAUCUGGUUCAAAUCUGACGCUGAGGCGCGAAGGCGUGGGGAGCAAACAGGAUUAGAUACCCUGGUAGUCCACGCUGUAAACGAUGAAUGUUAAAUAUGGGAAGUUUUACUUUCUGUAUUACAGCUAACGCGUUAAACAUUCCGCCUGGGGACUACGGUCGCAAGAUUAAAACUCAAAGGAAUUGACGGGGACCCGCACAAGCGGUGGAGCAUGUGGUUUAAUUCGAUGCAACGCGAAAAACCUUACCACU